CCAAUAGCGUAUAUUAAAGUUGUUACAGUUAAAAAGCUCGUAGUUGAAUUUCGGGAUCAAUAUGUCGGUCGUGCCUCCGGUACGUACUGGCAUCAUUGAUUUCUCCUUUCUGACGAACCAUGAUGUCAUUAAUUUGGUGUUAUGGGAAGUUAGGACUGUUACUUUGAAAAAAUUAGAGUGUUUAAAGCAGGCUUUAGCUUGAAUACAUUAGCAUGGAAUAAUGAAAUAGGACGUUCGAACCUAUUUUGUUGGUUUCUAGGAUCAACGUAAUGAUUAAUAGGGAUAGUUGGGGGCAUUAGUAUUCAAUUGUCAGAGGUAAAAUUCUUGGAUUUAUUGAAGACUAACUACUGCGAAAGCAUUUGCCAAGGAUGUUUUCAUUAAUCAAGAACGAAAGUUAGGGGAUCGAAGACGAUCAGAUACCGUCGUAGUCUUAACCAUAAACUAUGCCGACUAGGGAUCGGAUGAUGUUAAUUUUUUAAUGACUCAUUCGGCGCCUUACG
Molecule: ribosomal RNA, 500 nt
Filed under: uncultured Glomeromycotina
Lineage: Eukaryota; Fungi; Glomeromycota
Description: partial small subunit ribosomal RNA
Rfam family: Eukaryotic small subunit ribosomal RNA
Source: RNAcentral